CCGUAGCCGGCUUAGCAAGUUUCCUGUUAAACUCAGCGACUCAAUCGUUGGAUCGCGGGAAAUACUACUAGGCUAGGAGGCGGGAGAGGUCAACGGUACUUCUGGGUAGGGGUGAAAUCCUAUAAUCCCGGGAGGACCACCAGUGGCGAAGGCUGUUGACUAGAACGCGCUCGACGGUGAGGGACGAAAGCUGGGGGAGCGAACCGGAUUAGAUACCCGGGUAGUCCCAGCUGUAAACGAUGCGAGCUAGGUGUUGGAAUGGCUACGGGCCAUUUCAGUGCCGCAGGGAAGCCAGUAAGCUCGCCGCCUGGGGAGUACGGCCGCAAGGCUGAAACUUAAAGGAAUUGGCGGGGGAGCACCACAAGGCGUGAAGCUUGCGGUUCAAUUGGAGUCAACGCCGGGAACCUUACCGGGGGCGACAGCAGAAUGAAGGCCAGAUUGAAGGUCUUGCUAGACAAGCUGAGAGGAGGUGCAUGGCCGUCGCCAGUUCGUGCCGUGAGGUGUCCUGUUAAGUCAGGCAACGAUCGAGACCCACGCCUUUAGUUGCUACCGAGGAAAUUUUCCGAGGGGCACUCUAAAGGGACUGCCGUCGACAAGACGGAGGAAGGAGUGGGCAAAGGCAGGUCAGUAUGCCCCGAAUCCCCCGGGCUACACGCGAGCUGCAAUGGCAGAGACAAUGGGCUGUGACUCCGAAAGGAGAAACCAAUCCC
Molecule: ribosomal RNA, 710 nt
Filed under: uncultured crenarchaeote
Lineage: Archaea; Thermoproteati; Thermoproteota
Description: bacterial SSU rRNA
Rfam family: Archaeal small subunit ribosomal RNA
Source: RNAcentral